GACCAGAAGGCCUCUUAAGUAAAGUCCUUUCUUAUAAUAGCAGUAUUGAAUCCUAAGUGUUUUACACACAUGACCUCAUUAUUCAAAAACAAUCCUAUGUGAUAGAUGCUAUUUUAAUUGCCACUUUAUGGAUGAGGAAACCGAGGCACAGAGAAUAUUAGGCAACUUGUUCAAGAUGAGUAAACCCAGGCAGACUGACGCAGCAGCCGGAGCCCCUGCCCACCCAUUGCACAAUCUGUCUCCACAAGGAGACCACUCUGGGGAGCUUUCGGGGUGAGGAGGGACUCCUGUUACAAUGAUCAGCCCCAAGGAAAUUUCUCGGGACCUUUUCAGGGAGAGUCAAAACCCCUUCUCUGUCCCAAUUCUAGGUCUGCUUGAUAAGCCAGGAAUAAAGCUAUCCUGUAUCUUCCGGAACUUUCUGCUCCCUGAGGCAGCAGGGCAUUUGUUUGGCCAGGGUUUCCAAGCUCAGAGGCUCUCUGGCCCCAGUGACCCGAGGCAGCCCAUGGGGCUAUGCCAGGGCUUCCAGGCAGGAAGCUGCUGAGUGUACGCCUCCCCUAGCCACUGCCAGGUGAGAUGGAGCUGGGUGGGACAGCCCGCUGAGAACCUAGAACUGGGACCUUUAUGACAGUCCCCUCUACCCCGCCAGAUCAUUCACUAAAAGGCUCCUGAAAACUUGGCUCUGCUCUGUCCUCUGGGCCCCUGCUGCAGGCAGCUGCCUUUCAGUUCAUUACUGGAUCCCACUGAAUCCAAAAUUAGCUUGAUUCACAGAAGGAAAAAAAUACAAAACCCCACUAUAGCCAGAAAGCAAAUUGUCUACCAAGUCCUAUGUGGUAGAAAUAAGGUUUUGCCCUAAGGAGCCAUCUGGCUGUGUGUCCUCUCCCAAACACAUACUUUGUUUGGUACACUUAUUGUCACCCUUCGCCGCGAGGAAACAAAGAGGUGCUGGCUGUGGACCAGUCUCACCAGGAACAAGCUAAUGCUCUAAUGACGCCAGGAAGGGGUGGAGCAGAUAAGACAGGCACACACACCAUGGAAAGAACAUACAGAGAUUUUCCACACUCCUUAAGCAACAGGUACACUCUGUGCGGGGCACGUUGAAUAAAUAAGCCUGAGGGUACAGCGGGGUGGACUCGGAUGCCCAAGGAGAUGAGAAACUGAGGCUCAGAGAGGUUUCUGAAUGGCUGUGGACUCGGGGCUUCCGACUCCCAUUCUUCCUCCUGGGCUGCAGUUUGCCUGGAGAAGCCACACGAUAUCUCUUCAUGUUCCAUCAGCCCUCGCUGGGCGUGAAACCUUGAUUUCUACAGAGGCUGCUUCCUCCCAAGGCCCACUGCAAAGUCACAGCGGUAAAAAGUCUCUUCCUUCCAGGCCAGGCUGGGCUCUCAGGCUGGAGGAGGAGGCGGCAAAGGUGACAAGGUACCAGAGGGACCUCAAAGAAAGCUGAGGGGCAGGGCACCCCCAAAGGCAAACCUGGAACAGCUGAUGACUCUGGCGUUCGCUCCAUGUGAGGUCAGAGAGGACGUCUACGCUAUUGCCACUACUACUAAUAGGAAUGACAGUUACUAUUUAAUUGUGUCGACUGUGUGCCAGGUGUGUACAUCUUGUGGAAGGAAUAAACAUAUGUUCAAAAUGCUCAAUAAACAUGAUCUCUUUUAAUCCUCAAAAGAACUAAUACGACCAGAUUUAAACUUUUAUUUCUGUUUUUCAAACAAGGAUAUCGAGGUUCAGAGAGGUUCGGAACUUGCCUGAGACCUCCCAGCGAGAGGCAGAGCCAAUGCCCCACCUGACAAAGCCCACUCUCCGUACAGUGUACAGUACUGCCCAGACAGUGACACAAACACCACCUCGUUGUUUUUAUUCAACACGUUGGCAUCACCCAGUCCCAGGACACUGGCUCCUGAGGAAGGCAGGCCCCCUUCCGCGCAGCCUUUAAAAUUCCCAGGCAUAAAACUAUUUUGACCGGCCACCCUGGGUCUAAGCCUCAGGACAGGGACCCUUGUCCAUAGCCAAGGCGAAUUUGCCACGUCCUUGCCGACCCCUGCCAAGGUGUCCACUCUGUCUUUCCAUGCUCCCAACACCCACUCUAUCAUUGCACCCAGAGCUUGGGGAGGAGGAGUGAGGUUGCCGCCUAGACCAUUCUCUACAGGGAGAGCCUGGGCUCAGGGGAAGUGAAGAGAGGAAGUGGGUCUCACUUAGACAGUGGAGGAGAGUGGGUGGCUGAGCACUGUGGGUGUGAGGGAUGGUUUGGGAGGCCCUAGGGACUUGCCCCUGAGCCAGGCAAGUUCCCCAAUCCAGUGCACGCAGGCACGCACCACACACACACACACACACACACACACACACACACACACACCCCUCCAGGCGACACAAGGCAGGCAUCUGAGGGCAGCACUGCAACAGGCUACACCUGAGCACAGCUGGCUCAGCCAUCCGGGUACCCACACCUAUGAAGGCUCCAGGAUGCAACGUGUUGAUCUCUCGCUGUGGUUUCUCUUCCUUUUCUGCAUCCUGGGCUCUGCCUGGCAGUUGGCCUCCUGGAAGCCUCCCUUUUUAGGCUUCUCCUCCUCCGUCAGCCCCUAGGCAGGACCUUUUUACUUGACUUGGCUGGGAAAGGGGCAGGGAGGUCGCUGGGCUCCCGAGAAGCCAGUCCCUUUACUGGGGCGCCUCUCAUGAGGCAUUUUCGGAGGUCUCCGGAAGCACAGAUGCCACUUGGUCUUUUUGUUUGUUUCAGGAGGGAAGGGAUUGAAUUUCAGUAAGAGAUGUGGGUCUUUAAACGCCCCCCUCCCCAGCAAAAUACACACAGGGUGUCUGUAAAAUACACAUCCUUGGCACCAUGAGACAAAAUGUGCAGACUCUAAACACCCUGGGACGCCCAAAGCGCAGACCGUCAAGGACAGGAACUCCACGCCCACCCGGGGACAGAAAUGCCCA
This is a non-coding RNA of Microcebus murinus (gray mouse lemur), 2928 nucleotides long. The record is from RefSeq and is a predicted model, not a curated record. Lineage: Eukaryota; Metazoa; Chordata; Mammalia; Primates; Cheirogaleidae.